GGCUGCCUUGGUAUUUCGGGUCUGUGAGCUCACAGGAAAUAGGGUCAGUGUUAUGCAACUAGGUGGAAAUGGAAAACUCUCAUACAGAGCAGGCUCUGGGAUGAGUGGUAAAGGAACAAUACUCAUCAUAGAUCACAGCAUGGCUCCACAUCAACCUCCACGCGUCCUUUUCCCUACCUGGGAUCAAAGCAGAGGAAGAGCCCUUGCUACAGUCUGGCUCUGGAACAUCCUCCGAAGCCCCAUGAGUUGAAGGCCUGCUUCCCAGCCGGUGGUGCCACCAGGAGGUGGUGAUCCCAGGAGUUUCUUCUGCGAGGAAACAGCGGCAUCUAGUGGCUAUAUUUAGUCAUAGCAGUCAUUUACGUGUUCCUUCAAAGGUCAAAGGGCAAGCAAAGAAGUCUGGAACAGCCGGGAGACUGUGUUGGAAGUAAACUAGUGACUGAUACACUAGAAAACUUUUAAAUAGCUUAUGAGCUUGGUUCUGAGAUCCUCUACUCAGUGUGGGUGGAAGCUUUCACGAUCAGCUCUGGCUCCUGUCUUCCUCUGCCCUUUGCCACACAUCUUGGCAGUUGCUUUCAUCGAAUCAUAAUGUACGUCCUGCCUUUUGACUUUGGAUUCAGCCACUCUGAACGGGGCAGGAGUGUGCCAGUGCGAGCCUGGACCUCGUGAGGCCUUAGGUGCACACUUGAGGGACGGCCUUGCAUCCUAGGAAGAAUCACAAAUAUCCUGAGUCUCACUCAUUAGAUUUAGGGUGCAGACCAUCAUCUGACACACAGGAAUGAGGGUGGCAGUGACCAGACUCUGUGUCACACAUUGCUGCUUUCAUGGGGGUGUCGUAAGAGACACCUGCACUCAAACCUCGGCUCUGCCAGAGACAGCACGGAAGAGAGACAAGUCCUGCGGAUGCGGCUCACACCUUGGUCUUUAGAUUCCGCCUGGGCCAGCUCCUCCAGGGACUGCUCCAGCAAGUCGGCCAGCCGGCUCAGCACCUGUGCGCGCUCCUGGGGGCUCCGGGACGACCAGCCAGGAAAGGCCCCUCUGGCGGCCCGGACAGCGGCUUCAAUCUUGAGGAAAAGACAGGAGAAGGUCACACCAAGCUGCUGCUCCGGAGAGGCUGCAGGAAGAGUGACUCCCCACGACCCUACACAUGUGACUGUUCUUUUUUCAAUUACUCAACAUGCCCCGAUUCUGAGCUACCUUGAGUAGUCAGCACAGGUGUUUAUGUGAGUCGAGACACCACACAAAGAAAAACGCUCCACUUCCACCAAAGAAUCCGGAAUGAAUAUUGUGUGCAGAAGAAACAUGGUCUAGAGGUAUAGGAGCGCUAACAUCCAGCUCCAACAUUUCACGAAGGCUAAAGUUUUGUGUGAAAUCAUAUCUUUUGACUGUCGUUAGCACUUACAGCGAUUAAUUCUAUUAUUGACUAAAUUUUAUAGCUAAGAGAGUGUGACUAACUGCACAAGUAUUUCAUUUAACCUCUUUUAAAAUCCUGUCCCUCAAGUAUUUUAUGCUCAUUUUACGUGAGGAAACUGAGGAACAGAAAGUUCAGGUACCUUACUACAGGGGUAGUAAGUGGCAGAAUCGAGAUUCAUACCCAGUUGUUGGUGGCAUCCAAGACCACACUCUAACAGACUAUGGCAUAACCACUGUCUCUGCUCCCUGCCAACAGAAGGGGUCUCUGUUGGACAGCGGUGGAUCUGAAGUUGAACAAAAUCCUGGGGUCCAGUUUUGGGGCUACAUCCAAGAGGAAACAGCAUGUGAUAAUGUAUGUGUAGAACCAAUUUAGGACCAAAAUGAAUCUUUCAGUGUUUUUCUGCCUUUAUCCCCUCUUGGGCAAUGUUGAGGCUAUCCCUUUUGCAGAAACAAGAAAUCCAUAGCCCAUGUUUUAAUCCUUUUCUCUCACAUGCAUGAUGACUGAUGAUAGUCACAGCUGUCUUCUGCCUCGGGGCCCCAGCUCGGCCCCCUUUGCCGGGAGCUUUAGGCAGCCCUGAGCAGCUUUCUUGUCACAUGAUCUGAGCAUCAGCCUCCUGACCCUGUGCCACCCCAUGCAUCGAAAGCUGAUCUAUAUCUUUUUGUUUCUGCAAGGAAGAAAGUCACUUUCAGCUGAGCUGAAGGGGUAAGAUUAAAGUUAAGAGGACUGAUGAAGUGCCUCAGUGGUAGAUCACUUGACCAAAACAAGCAAGAACCAUGCUUCUUCCCCAGCAUGGAAAAAGAAUAAGAAAGAUUUGAAAGAUGGUAGUUUCAUCUCAAAGACCAAAUGUUUAUCUUAGACCCGUAGAUGGGAUGAGGGAAGAGACGUGGGCUCUGAUGCUGUCCACCUCAAGAUGCAGUGUGGGGAAGUCCAUGGCUGAGCAGCCACAUGAACCUUAACUCCUACAGUGGUCAGUUUAAGAACUGAUCGUUAGCUAUUCAAGUCCAUUCGUAUUCUCUACGCUGUCCCGCUUCACACAUCUCACGUACACAAUACGGAAUACAUAUUAAUCUACUACACACUGAUACUUAGAAAGUGUUUACUAUAUACUAAGCACUACAACAGUCCAUGUUAGUCUAUUUAAUUCUCCAAAUACUAGGAAAUAGGUGUCAUUAAUAUUCUCAUUUCAUAAGUGGGUAGAGAGAAGCAUGAAGAAAUUGAGCUCUAAAUCAAAGCCACAGACACCAAGUGGGGAAGAUGGUCUUUGAAGCCAAGCAGUCUAACUCCAGUAUGUUUAUGGAUGCAAUACUCUCAUACAAAGGGUUGUAACAAAGAGUGUGUGUGUGUGUACAUGCAUGUGUACAUGUAUGUGCGUGUCCACUGACCCGUGCAUCAGAGUUGGCAGUGUCAGCACACUGGGGUCUGCUGGAUAAGAAUGAUAGUAGCCUCAACUUUCUAGGUUGCUGCCACUUGCUCUGGGUUAAACAGCUUGGUGAAAGUGAGGUGCACCAGUGAAGCUGAAUAAAUGGCAGGGCCUGGGGGCAGCACAGGAGCACGUUCUGUGGAAGAGUGAGAACUUUGCAUGUAUUUUUAUGGUCACUAUUUUUUUCAAUCUAAAAAAUAUGGUACUUAUGGGAUCAGAUUGGGGUCAUUGUGAGUGGGAUUUCUGAGAAGUAAACAUUACUUGUUACUGUAGGAACAACUGAUAUUUUCUGUUUUAUUCUAUUUUCUGAAAAGGUCCAAGACAUUAGCUGUAGAAAAUACUCUAUCUGAAUUUGGCUUAUUUGUCAUUUUAACUUCACCUGGGAAAACACUGGGAGACCAGGAAGAUUCCUCACAUUACAGUUUAACCAGUGAAUUAGCCAAUAUUUGUGAACAUUAAUCCACAAGUCUAAAGGGUUUUUUUUUAAUGCAAAACAGACUUGAAAUUUUAACAGAGAAAAAUAACUGAGUUCUUAAAAAACGUUGCAUAUAAUUUUUAAUAAUAUAUGAAGGCUACAACUGUAUGUUAAAUAGCCUAGUUCUCUGUGUCUUAAAAGAAUGAUUCUAAUCCACUAAGCAUUAGAUGGCUGUGCAUUUGUCAGUGACAUUUAUCCCCCACAUAUAUUUACAUUCUCAGCUUAAUAAUUGAUAACUAAUCAAACAUGUCUCAAUAUUUUAUAAAAUUACCCAAUUAAAAAUAGUUCUUCAGCACUAAAAGAAAGCAUAAUGCAUGUGACAUCAAGCACUUUGAAUAAUAAAAGUUAAAUCUAAAUGCAAAAAUAUUACACAAGAAUUUGAUUUUUAGUUUCAACAUUCAAAUGUUUGAGUUUGAUACACUAGGUAUUUUGAAGACACAAGGAAUUAUUACAGAAUGAUCACUGGCACAUUUUUUAAGAAAUCUAUGGAUCUAGUGGCAAAUUUAUGUGACACUUGGUCUAUAAAAGGAUCCCCUUAAGAAUAGUGAUAAUUCUUACAAAUAAUAUUUCGUACCAUACACCUAUUAGAGUCAGAAACUUAGCCCCCAAAAUGUUACACAUACAAGUGUGUGUUAGUUUGGCUAGAAAAACGGCUUGCUUCUGGAUAUAGGAGGAACCUUACAAGAAAACGUCCUUAGAAUCUUCCUUCCACUAGCAUGUAACAAUUCUACACUUUCUUGCAAACUCUUUUGCUUUCAGAAAAUCAAGUUACCCAGAGCUUGCCAAAAUACUAAGUAGAUUUCAGUCUUCUCCAAGUGAAUGCACUCACCUCAUCUUUCCCACUAUUUGGCACCUUGCAGUACACUUUCCCUGUGGAAGGAUCGUAGGAAUCUAUAUAUGAGUCACAAGGUAAAAAUUUCCCAUCUAUGAAGUUUUCCAGCAUCAAAAGUUCGCCUGGU
Cavia porcellus (domestic guinea pig) is the source of this 4265-nucleotide long non-coding RNA. RefSeq lists it as uncharacterized. Lineage: Eukaryota; Metazoa; Chordata; Mammalia; Rodentia; Caviidae. The record is from RefSeq and is a predicted model, not a curated record. The transcript has 3 exons.